UUGAACUUAGAAUACGCUAU
Molecule: small nuclear RNA, 20 nt
Filed under: Arabidopsis thaliana (thale cress)
Lineage: Eukaryota; Viridiplantae; Streptophyta; Magnoliopsida; Brassicales; Brassicaceae
Description: snRNA_15959
Source: RNAcentral